RNAcentral lists this ribosomal RNA (481 nucleotides) under uncultured bacterium. Its description in RNAcentral is "partial 16S ribosomal RNA". It matches the Rfam family "Bacterial small subunit ribosomal RNA", at positions 28 to 507 of the family's 1533-position model. The record is from RNAcentral.
GAUGAACGCUGGCGGCGUGCCUAACACAUGCAAGUCGAACGGAGAUUACGGACGGAAGUUUUCGGAUGGAAGACUGUAAUUCUUAGUGGCGGACGGGUGAGUAACGCGUGGGCAACCUGCCCUAUACAGGGGGAUAGCAGCUGGAAACGGCUGGUAAGACCGCAUAAGUCGGCGAGACCGCAUGGUUUUGCCGGGAAAUGAGCAAUCAGGUAUAGGAUGGGCCCGCGUCCGAUUAGCCAGUUGGCAGGGUAAAAGCCUACCAAAGCAACGAUCGGUAGCCGGACUGAGAGGUCGGGCGGCCACAUUGGGACUGAGACACGGACCAAACUCCUACGGGAGGCAGCAGUGGGGGAUAUUGCAAAAUGGAGGAAACUCUGAUGCAGCGACGCCGCGUGAGUGAAGAAGUAUUUAGGUAUGUAAAGCUCUAUCAGCAGGGAAGAUGAUGACGGUACCUGACUAAGAAGCCCCGGCUAACUACGUG